Molecule: ribosomal RNA, 1550 nt
Filed under: metagenome
Description: bacterial LSU rRNA
Rfam family: Bacterial large subunit ribosomal RNA
Source: RNAcentral
CCNNCACCGAAUGCCUAAGGUUUCCUGAGGAAGGCUCGUCCGCUCAGGGUUAGUCGGGACCUAAGCCGAGGCCGAAAGGCGUAGGCGAUGGACAACAGGUUGAUAUUCCUGUACCACCUCCUCACCAUUUGAGCAAUGGGGACGCAGGAGGAUAGCGCGGUAUUGGAUAUCCGCGUCCAAGCAGUUAGGCUGGGAAAUAGGCAAAUCCGUUUCCCAUAANGNUGAGCUGUGAUGGCGAGCGAAAUAUAGUAGCGAAGUUCCUGAUUCCACCNCCAAGAAAAAGCCUCUAGCGAGGUGAGAGGUGCCCGUACCGCAAACCGACACAGGUAGGCGAGGAGAGAAUCCUAAGGUGAUCGAGAACUCUCGUUAAGGAACUCGGCAAAAUGACCCGUAACUUCNGGAGAAGGUGUCUGUUAGGUGCANNCCAGAGAGCCGCAGUGAAUAGGCCCAGGCGACUGUUUAGCAAAACACAGGUCUCUGCGAAGCCGUNAGAAGUAGGGGCUGACGCCUGCCCGGUGCUGGAAGGUUAAGAGGAGCGCUAGCGUAAGCGAAGGCGCGAAUUGAAGCCCCAGUAAACGGCGGCCGUAACAAUAACGGUCCUAAGGUAGCGAAAUUCCUUGUCGGGUAAGUUCCGACCCGCACGAAAGGCGCAACGAUCUGGGCACUGUCUCAACGAGAGACUCGGUGAAAUUAUAGUACCUGUGAAGAUGCAGGUUACCCGCGACAGGACGGAAAGACCCCGUGGAGCUUUACUGCAGCCUGAUAUUGAAUGUUGGUACAGCUUGNAGCAGGAUAGGUAGGAGCCUUGAAACCGGAGCGCCAGCUUCGGUGGAGGCAUCGGUGGGAUACUACCCUGGCUGUAUUGACCUUCUAACCCGCCCUUAUCGGGCGGGGAGACAGUGUCAGGUGGGCAGUUUGACUGGGCGGUCGCCUCCUAAAAGGUAACGGAGGCGCCCAAAGGUUCCUCAGAAUGGUUGGAAAUCAUUCGCAGAGUGUAAAGGCACAAGGGAGCUUGACUGCGACCUACAAGUCGAGCGGGGACGAAAGUCGGGCUUAGUGAUCCGGUGGUUCCGCAUGGAAGGGCCAUCGCUCAACGGAUAAAAGCUACCCCGGGAUAACAGGCUUAUCUCCCCAAGAGUCCACAUCGACGGGGAGGUUUGGCACCUCGAUGUCGGCUCAUCGCAUCCUGGGCUGUAGUCGGUCCCAAGGGUUGGGCUGUUCGCCCAUUAAAGCGGUACGCGAGCUGGGUUCAGAACGUCGUGAGACAGUUCGGUCCCUAUCCGUCGCGGGCGCAGGAAAUUUGAGGAGCUGCCCUUAGUACGAGAGGACCGGGAUGGACGCACCGCUGUGUACCAGUUGUUCUGCCAAGGGCAUCGCUGGUAGCUAUGUGCGGACGGGAUAAGUGCUGAAAGCAUCUAACAUGAAGCCCCCUCAAGAUGAGAUUUCCAUUCCGCAAGGAAGUAAGAUCCCUGAAAGAUGAUCAGGUUGAUAGGUCUGGAGGUGGAAGUGUGGCGACACAUGGAGCUGACAGAUACCAAUCGAUCGAGGAC